CUCUUGGGUCGUAAACCUCUUUUGUUAGGGAAGAACACAAUGACGGUACCUAACGAAUCAGCCUCGGCUAACUCCGUGCCAGCAGCCGCGGUAAUACGGAGGAGGCAAGCGUUAUCCGGAAUUAUUGGGCGUAAAGCGUCCGCAGGUGGCGAUUCAAGUCUGCGGUCAAAGACUGGGGCUUAACCCUGGAAAGGCCGUGGAAACUGAAAAGCUAGAGUGCAGUAGGGGUAGAGGGAAUUCCCGGUGUAGCGGUGAAAUGCGUAGAGCUCGGGAAGAACAUCGGUGGCGAAAGCGCUCUGCUGGACUGCAACUGACACUCAGGGACGAAAGCUAGGGGAGCGAAUGGGAUUAGAUACCCCAGUAGUCCUAGCCGUAAACGAUGGAUACUAGGUGUGGCUUGUAUCGACCCGAGCCGUGCCGUAGCUAACGCGUUAAGUAUCCCGCCUGGGGAGUACGCACGCAAGUGUGAAACUCAAAGGAAUUGACGGGGGCCCGCACAAGCGGUGGAGUAUGUGGUUUAAUUCGAUGCAACGCGAAGAACCUUACCAGGGCUUGACAUGUCCGGAAUCUCCUGGAAACGGGAGAGUGCCUUCGGGAGCCGGAACACAGGUGGUGCAUGGCUGUCGUCAGCUCGUGUCGUGAGAUGUUGGGUUAAGUCCCGCAACGAGCGCAACCCUCGUCUUUAGUUGCCAGCAUUAAGUUGGGCACUCUAGAGAGACUGCCGGUGACAAACCGGAGGAAGGUGGGGAUGACGUCAAGUCAGCAUGCCCCUUACGUCCUGGGCUACACACGUACUACAAUGCGACGGACAAAGGGCAGCAAGCCAGCGAUGGCAAGCCAAUCCCAUAAACCGUGGCUCAGUUCAGAUCGCAGGCUGCAACUCGCCUGCGUGAAGGAGGAAUCGCUAGUAAUUGCAGGUCAGCAUACUGCAGUGAAUUCGUUCCCGGGCCUUGUACACACCGCCCGUCACACCAUGGAAGUUGGCCACGCCCGAAGUCGUUACCCUAACCGUUCGCGGAGGGGGACGCCGAAGGCAGGGCUGAUGACUGGGGUGAAGUCGUAACAAGGUAGCCGUACCGGAAGGUGUGGCUGGAUCACCUCCUUUU
RNAcentral lists this ribosomal RNA (1106 nucleotides) under Pycnacronema savannensis 49PC. RNAcentral's name for it is "bacterial SSU rRNA". It matches the Rfam family "Bacterial small subunit ribosomal RNA", at positions 415 to 1533 of the family's 1533-position model. Lineage: Bacteria; Bacillati; Cyanobacteriota; Cyanophyceae; Coleofasciculales; Wilmottiaceae. The record is from RNAcentral.